UAUUGGUCAAUGGAUGGAAGUCUGGACCAGCCAUGCCGCGUGCAGGAAGAAGGCCUUCUGGGUUGUAAACUGCUUUUGCCAGGGGCUAAAAAGCUCAUGCGUGAGAAAUUGAAAGUACCUGGUGAAUAAGCCACGGCUAACUACGUGCCAGCAGCCGCGGUAAUACGUAGGUGGCAGGCGUUGUCCGGAUCUAUUGGGUUUAAAGGGUGCGUGGGCGGCUUUGUAAGUCAGUGGUGAAAUAUGGCAGCUUAACUGUCAGGGUGCCAUUGAUACUGCAGAGCUUGAGUACAGAUGAGGUAGGCGGAAUUGACGGUGUAGCGGUGAAAUGCUUAGAUAUCGUCAAGAACACCGAUAGCGAAGGCAGCUUACUGGGCUGUAACUGACGCUGAGGCACGAAAGUGUGGGGAUCAAACAG
Molecule: ribosomal RNA, 415 nt
Filed under: uncultured bacterium
Lineage: Bacteria
Description: bacterial SSU rRNA
Rfam family: Bacterial small subunit ribosomal RNA
Source: RNAcentral